Molecule: RNA transcript, 3011 nt
Organism: Mus musculus (house mouse)
Lineage: Eukaryota; Metazoa; Chordata; Mammalia; Rodentia; Muridae
Gene: Pcca
Gene name: propionyl-Coenzyme A carboxylase, alpha polypeptide
Exons: 25
Source: RefSeq, marked validated
CGUAAGCCCUAGGCGACCGGCUCUGCGCCGCAGUCGGACCAGCUCCCUCCCAAGCCUACUCGCCAGGGGGCGGAGCUUAGAGCUCAAGGCUCCUGAUUGGCCGUCCCGCGGGCACUCCCCUUCCCCGCCCCUUGACGAGGGUGAGAGGUCAGCAGCCGGCAAGUCUGCGGGGUGGACGAUGGCGGGGCAGUGGGUCAGGACCGUGGCGCUGUUGGCGGCCAGGCGGCAUUGGCGGCGGUCCUCGCAGCAGCAAUUGCUGGGGACGCUGAAGCAUGCUCCAGUCUAUUCAUACCAAUGCCUAGUGGUGUCCAGAAGUCUCAGUUCUGUGGAAUAUGAGCCUAAAGAAAAGACUUUUGAUAAAAUUCUCAUUGCUAACAGAGGAGAAAUUGCCUGUAGGGUUAUUAAAACUUGCAAGAAGAUGGGCAUCAAGACAGUUGCCAUUCACAGUGAUGUUGAUGCCAGUUCUGUUCACGUGAAAAUGGCGGAUGAGGCUGUCUGUGUUGGCCCAGCUCCCACCAGUAAAAGCUACCUCAACAUGGAUGCCAUCAUGGAAGCCAUUAAGAAAACCAGGGCCCAAGCUGUACACCCAGGGUAUGGAUUCCUGUCAGAAAACAAAGAGUUUGCAAAGCGUCUGGCAGCAGAAGAUGUCACUUUCAUUGGACCUGAUACUCAUGCUAUUCAAGCCAUGGGUGACAAGAUAGAAAGCAAACUAUUAGCCAAGAGAGCAAAGGUCAACACAAUCCCUGGUUUUGAUGGGGUAGUAAAGGAUGCAGAUGAAGCUGUCAGAAUUGCAAGGGAAAUUGGCUACCCUGUGAUGAUCAAGGCCUCAGCAGGCGGUGGUGGGAAAGGCAUGCGCAUCGCCUGGGAUGACGAAGAGACCAGGGAUGGCUUUAGAUUUUCAUCCCAGGAAGCUGCUUCUAGUUUUGGUGAUGAUAGACUACUAAUAGAAAAAUUUAUCGAUAACCCUCGUCAUAUAGAAAUCCAGGUUUUAGGGGAUAAACAUGGCAAUGCUCUGUGGCUCAAUGAGAGGGAGUGCUCGAUCCAGAGAAGGAACCAGAAGGUGGUAGAGGAGGCGCCAAGCAUUUUUCUGGAUCCUGAAACUCGCCAAGCAAUGGGAGAGCAGGCCGUGGCUUUGGCUAAAGCCGUGAAGUAUUCUUCUGCUGGAACUGUGGAAUUUCUUGUGGACUCCCAGAAGAAUUUUUACUUCUUGGAGAUGAAUACAAGACUACAGGUCGAACAUCCUGUCACAGAGUGCAUUACUGGCCUGGACUUAGUCCAAGAAAUGAUCCUUGUUGCUAAGGGUUACCCACUCAGGCACAAGCAAGAGGAUAUUCCCAUCAGUGGCUGGGCAGUUGAAUGUCGGGUUUAUGCUGAGGACCCCUACAAGUCUUUCGGUUUACCGUCUAUUGGGAGGCUGUCCCAGUACCAAGAGCCGAUACAUCUACCUGGUGUCCGAGUUGACAGUGGCAUCCAACCAGGAAGUGACAUCAGCAUCUAUUAUGAUCCUAUGAUUUCAAAGCUAGUCACAUAUGGGUCUGACAGAGCAGAAGCCCUGAAGAGGAUGGAAGACGCACUGGACAAUUAUGUGAUCCGGGGUGUUACACACAACAUCCCAUUGCUCCGGGAGGUGAUAAUCAACACACGUUUUGUGAAAGGAGACAUCAGCACUAAGUUUCUCUCUGAUGUGUAUCCUGAUGGCUUCAAAGGGCACACGUUAACACUGAGUGAGAGAAACCAGUUAUUGGCCAUUGCAUCAUCUGUAUUUGUGGCAUCCCAGCUACGAGCUCAGCGCUUCCAAGAACAUUCAAGAGUACCAGUUAUUAGGCCUGAUGUGGCUAAGUGGGAGCUCUCGGUAAAGUUACAUGAUGAAGAUCAUACUGUCGUGGCAUCUAACAAUGGGCCGGCAUUUACCGUGGAAGUUGAUGGCUCGAAACUAAAUGUGACCAGUACGUGGAACCUGGCGUCACCCUUAUUGUCUGUCAACGUUGAUGGCACGCAGAGGACUGUGCAGUGUCUUUCUCGGGAAGCAGGUGGAAACAUGAGCAUCCAGUUUCUUGGCACAGUGUACAAAGUGCACAUUUUAACCAAGCUUGCUGCAGAGCUGAACAAAUUCAUGCUUGAAAAAGUGCCCAAGGACACCAGCAGCACUCUGUGCUCCCCGAUGCCUGGAGUGGUGGUGGCCGUUUCUGUCAAGCCUGGAGACAUGAUGCCAGGUGAAAUGAGUCAAGAGCGGCCGUGAGCACUGAGCUCCAAGCCUGCUUGUCAGCAGUGCCUCUCCUCCGUGCCAGAACCAGAAGCCUUGGCAUCUCCUCUCUUCCUAUAUUCCCGUGCCAGGAAAACACAGCCCACCACCUGAACAGCAGAGGAAAGAAUGCACAGGGCUGCAGUACUCACACUGCCAGCAAGACAGCUUGUGCCACACAGGGAGCCGGGAGGGGACUUGGAGAUCAUUUGGGGAUGGCAGGAAAGAACAUUCUCCAGGCCCUUCUGUGGCAUUGGCCAGCACAGCCACAGUAAUGCGACUGUCCAGGAGCCCCGGCCACCAUACCAGCAGUGCCCCAUGGAGCCAUCAGCCUACCACUUCAUAGAGUAGCAGAAGGUCAGGAAAUCUGUGUGAUUGAAGCUAUGAAAAUGCAGAACAGUAUGACAGCUGGGAAAAUGGGCAAGGUGAAAUUGGUGCACUGCAAAGCUGGAGACACAGUUGGUGAAGGAGACCUGCUUGUGGAGCUGGAAUGAAGUAUUUCUAGCCUUUCCGUCAGCACUGCUCACUGCUUUAACUGGCGUCUCCAUUAUUCUCUAACCCUCAAUUUGCGCAAGCAUUUACAGGAGCACUCCUGUGCAGGAGGUUCUACAGCCUCCUGUUUAUUCCUCAGAAGAGGCAAAACCGACAUUCUGCCAACAAAUCACCAAUGGAAAUUCUUGAUAUAAAUACUUGUACAUAUGAUUUGUACUUCUGCUGAGAUUUCCUAGUGUCAAAAUUAAAUCAAUAAAACCAAGCAUUUGUCUAAAUA